This 505-nucleotide ribosomal RNA is filed under the name Gobiosoma bosc (naked goby). RNAcentral's name for it is "partial 12S ribosomal RNA". It matches the Rfam family "Bacterial small subunit ribosomal RNA", at positions 794 to 1529 of the family's 1533-position model. Lineage: Eukaryota; Metazoa; Chordata; Actinopteri; Gobiiformes; Gobiidae. The record is from RNAcentral.
GCCUAGCCGUAAACAUAAACAGCCUGUCACCCCGCUGUUCGCCCGGGUACUACAAGCCCUAGCUUAAAACCCAAAGGACUUGGCGGUGCUUUAGACCCCCCUAGAGGAGCCUGUUCUAGAAUCGAUAAUCCCCGUUCCACCUCACCCUCUCUUGUUCUCCCCGCCUAUAUACCGCCGUCGUCAGCUUACCUUGUGAAAGAUGAAUAGUAAGCAAAAUUGGCAGAGCCCAAAACGUCAGGUCAAGGUGUAGCGUAUGAGAGGGAGAGCAAUGGGCUACAUUUACUGUCCCAGUAAACACGGAUCUUGCAAUGAAACAAGCAUUUGAAGGAGGAUUUAGCAGUAAGAGGGGACUAUGUGUGCCCCCCUGAAAACGGCCCUGAAGCGCGCACACACCGCCCGUCACUCUCCCCACCGGACCCCUGCACAUAAAUAAUACCUGCUAACCACAAAGGGGAGGCAAGUCGUAACAUGGUAAGCGUACCGGAAGGUGCGCUUGGAAUAAGUC